RNAcentral lists this microRNA precursor (103 nucleotides) under Marmota monax (woodchuck). Lineage: Eukaryota; Metazoa; Chordata; Mammalia; Rodentia; Sciuridae. The record is from RNAcentral.
AGUGGUAUAACUGGGCCAAAUGGUGGUUACAUUUCUAAGUUUAUGAGGAAUCUACAUACUUCUUUCCAGAGUAGUCACACCAAUUUGCAGUCUCACCAGCAAU